AACGAACGCUGGCGGCAUGCCUAACACAUGCAAGUCGAACGAGACCUUCGGGUCUAGUGGCGCACGGGUGCGUAACGCGUGGGAAUCUACCCUUGGGUUCGGAAUAACAGUUAGAAAUGACUGCUAAUACCGGAUGAUGACGUAAGUCCAAAGAUUUAUCGCCCAAGGAUGAGCCCGCGUAAGAUUAGCUUGUUGGUGGGGUAAUGACCUACCAAGGCGACGAUCUUUAGCUGGUCUGAGAGGAUGAUCAGCCACACUGGGACUGAGACACGGCCCAGACUCCUACGGGAGGCAGCAGUGGGGAAUAUUGGACAAUGGGCGAAAGCCUGAUCCAGCAAUGCCGCGUGAGUGAUGAAGGCCUUAGGGUUGUAAAGCUCUUUUACCAGGGAUGAUUAUGACAGUACCUGGAGAAUAAGCUCCGGCUAACUCCGUGCCAGCCGCCGCGGUAA
RNAcentral lists this ribosomal RNA (449 nucleotides) under uncultured bacterium. Its description in RNAcentral is "partial 16S ribosomal RNA". It matches the Rfam family "Bacterial small subunit ribosomal RNA", at positions 29 to 523 of the family's 1533-position model. The record is from RNAcentral.